AAGAGAAAGUUGCCAGCAUUACGCCGAAGCUUGGAGCGUGAGGCGUUGAGUACGGGCGGCAAGUGACGCAACAAAAUGUGCCACCUUAAAGUUUUCUUCCUUGCCAUCGCCGUAUUGCUUGCAACGCACACAGUCACGAAAUACGCUGCCGCGGAGGAGAGCGACUUCAUUGACUGGGGAGAAGGAAGCGGCGAUGAAUGCGACACUUCGCAGAACUGCCAUUCACCGGGAACGAUGUGUUGUGUAAGCACCCACGGCACUAAACAGUGUCAAUCGCUGGCUCAGAUUGGUCAACGUUGCUCACUGAAUGAGCCUCAUGAAACAUACUGCCCUUGUGCAUCACCGCAUACGUGUGUUGACAAGGGAGAAGGGAUCAACAUAUGCGUGGCUCCUGGCAAAAGAAAAUAAACUUCACCAAAUUUUAUGCAGCACA
Rhipicephalus microplus (southern cattle tick) is the source of this 433-nucleotide long non-coding RNA. NCBI's taxonomy places the organism in Eukaryota, Metazoa, Arthropoda, Arachnida, Ixodida, Ixodidae. The record is from RefSeq and is a predicted model, not a curated record.